Molecule: ribosomal RNA, 606 nt
Filed under: Clostridioides difficile
Lineage: Bacteria; Bacillati; Bacillota; Clostridia; Peptostreptococcales; Peptostreptococcaceae
Description: partial 23S ribosomal RNA
Rfam family: Bacterial large subunit ribosomal RNA
Source: RNAcentral
CUAAGGCCAGCGAGAGAACUGUUGUUAAGGAACUCGGCAAAAUGACCCCGUAACUUAGGGAUAAGGGGUGCCACCAUCAGGUGGCCGCAGAGAAUAGGCCCAAGCGACUGUUUACCAAAAACAUAGGUUUCUGCUAAGUCGCAAGACGAUGUAUAGGAGCUGACGCCUGCCCGGUGCUGGAAGGUUAAGGGGAUCUGUUAGAGCAAUCGAAGCAGUGAACUUAAGCCCCAGUAAACGGCGGCCGUAACUAUAACGGUCCUAAGGUAGCGAAAUUCCUUGUCGGGUAAGUUCCGACCCGCACGAAAGGCGUAACGAUUUGGGCACUGUCUCAACAACAGACUCGGUGAAAUUGUAAUUCCGGUGAAGAUGCCGGAUACCUGCGACAGGACGGAAAGACCCCAUGGAGCUUUACUGUAGCUUGACAUUGGGUCUUGGUACUACAUGUACAGGAUAGGUGGGAGGCUUUGAAACCAGGACGCCAGUUUUGGCGGAGCCAUCCUUGGGAUACCACCCUUGUAGUACUGGGACUCUAACCAUAGGCCAUGAAUCUGGUCUUGGGACACUGUCAGGUGGGCAGUUUGACUGGGGCGGUCGCCUCCCAAAAGG